Molecule: ribosomal RNA, 377 nt
Filed under: uncultured eukaryote
Lineage: Eukaryota
Description: partial 18S ribosomal RNA
Rfam family: Eukaryotic small subunit ribosomal RNA
Source: RNAcentral
CAAUAGCGUAUAUUAAAGUUGUUGCAGUUAAAAAGCUCGUAGUUGGAUUUCGGGGCAGCCUGGCUGGUCCGCCGCAAGGCGAGUACUGGUCAGCCGCCCUUCCUCUCGAAAGCCCCGACUGCUCUUUAUUGCAGUGGUCGGGUAGUUCGGGACGUUUACUUUGAAAAAAUUAGAGUGUUCAAGGCAGGCCUACGCCUGAAUACAUUAGCAUGGAAUAAUGGGAGAGGACCCCGGUCCUAUUUUGUUGGUUUCCAGGACCGAAGUAAUGAUUAAGAGGGACAGUUGGGGGCAUUCGUAUUUAAUUGUCAGAGGUGAAAUUCUCGGAUUUAUGAAAGACGAACAACUGCGAAAGCAUUUGCCAAGGAUGUUUUCAUUAA